UGUUUGAUGUUCUAACGUGGACCCGUGAUCCGGGUUGCGGACAGUGUCUGGUGGGUAGUUUGACUGGGGCGGUCUCCUCCUAAAGAGUAACGGAGGAGCACGAAGGUUGGCUAAUCCUGGUCGGACAUCAGGAGGUUAGUGCAAUGGCAUAAGCCAGCUUGACUGCGAGCGUGACGGCGCGAGCAGGUGCGAAAGCAGGUCAUAGUGAUCCGGUGGUUCUGAAUGGAAGGGCCAUCGCUCAACGGAUAAAAGGUACUCCGGGGAUAACAGGCUGAUACCGCCCAAGAGUUCAUAUCGACGGCGGUGUUUGGCACCUCGAUGUCGGCUCAUCACAUCCUGGGGCUGAAGUAGGUCCCAAGGGUAUGGCUGUUCGCCAUUUAAAGUGGUACGCGAGCUGGGUUUAGAACGUCGUGAGACAGUUCGGUCCCUAUCUGCCGUGGGCGCUGGAGAACUGAGGGGGGCUGCUCCUAGUACGAGAGGACCGGAGUGGACGCAUCACUGGUGUUCGGGUUGUCAUGCCAAUGGCACUGCCCGGUAGCUAAAUGCGGAAGAGAUAAGUGCUGAAAGCAUCUAAGCACGAAACUUGCCCCGAGAUGAGUUCUCCCUGAGACUUUAAGUCUCCUGAAGGAACGUUGAAGACGACGACGUUGAUAGGCCGGGUGUGUAAGCGCAGCGAUGCGUUGAGCUAACCGGUACUAAUGAACCGUGAGGCUUAACCUU
Molecule: ribosomal RNA, 720 nt
Filed under: Salmonella enterica
Lineage: Bacteria; Pseudomonadati; Pseudomonadota; Gammaproteobacteria; Enterobacterales; Enterobacteriaceae
Also listed under: 2 other names
Description: partial 23S ribosomal RNA
Rfam family: Bacterial large subunit ribosomal RNA
Source: RNAcentral